AUUAGGGGCUGGGAAUGGGCAGUGACGUGCUCUUUACGACAGGCAUAUAUACAGAUACCUGGGGUCCUUGGCCAGGUAACUCGUCUAUGCUGCUAGCUUUGUUUGUGCGAGGCAGCGUUGUGGGUUCUGUGGUUCGUUUGAAGAUCGUGUGGGAGGGAGCCAAAACAGACGUGGCUGUGAAUUGUCUUCCGUAGCGGCGUGAUGAUUGUUGUGAUUAACUAACGCCACCACAGACCGACGCAGCUUCACGAUGCUCGCUGCUGUUCUUUUAUGAUUGGUUGUAUGCGUGUGUGAGUUUGCUACUCCGAGUGAUGUGGUUUGAUUUUCCCUCUAGCCUGGGGACUGUUUCUAUGUCCUGGUGAACGUGUUGUGAGUCCCAGGUUAGAGGGGUUUUCUCUUUCUUUUGUGUUGUCCCUUGUGUUCCCCAUAGUCAGCCCCGGUACUGGUCCAGCCACAACACCUUAUAGGCCCAGGGAAGCCGGUCUCCGUAGUGUGAAACUUCACCUAGUGACUAGUGUUGCCUUGCUGUGUAUUCCUUAACAUAUCUGAGUGGUUCACUUGAAGUUUGUAGUGUGUUGCCUAAAAAAGGGUUGUGUGCACCUAUUCACGUGUGGUAUUGAGACCGUAGCUUCCACUAGCUUCCUUCCCCUAAUCAGUGGGUGGACUGAUUAACCGGCGGCUGUUACUAUUCCCUUGAUGUAUUUAUUGACCACACUGUACAACCUCC
Long non-coding RNA from Clupea harengus (Atlantic herring), 727 nucleotides. The record is from Ensembl. NCBI's taxonomy places the organism in Eukaryota, Metazoa, Chordata, Actinopteri, Clupeiformes, Clupeidae.